RNAcentral lists this transfer RNA (77 nucleotides) under Saprospiraceae bacterium. Its description in RNAcentral is "tRNA-Pro". It matches the Rfam family "tRNA". From Rfam's summary of the family: Transfer RNA (tRNA) molecules are approximately 80 nucleotides in length. Their secondary structure includes four short double-helical elements and three loops (D, anti-codon, and T loops). Further hydrogen bonds mediate the characteristic L-shaped molecular structure. tRNAs have two regions of fundamental functional importance: the anti-codon, which is responsible for specific mRNA codon recognition, and the 3' end, to which the tRNAs corresponding amino acid is attached (by aminoacyl-tRNA synthetases). tRNAs cope with the degeneracy of the genetic code in two manners: having more than one tRNA (with a specific anti-codon) for a particular amino acid; and 'wobble' base-pairing, i.e. permitting non-standard base-pairing at the 3rd anti-codon position. The record is from RNAcentral. Lineage: Bacteria; Pseudomonadati; Bacteroidota; Saprospiria; Saprospirales; Saprospiraceae.
CGGGAUGUGGCGCAGCCCGGUAGCGUACUUGCAUGGGGUGCAAGGGGUCGCAGGUUCAAAUCCUGUCAUCCCGACAA